This is an RNA transcript of Frieseomelitta varia, 1709 nucleotides long. It is a transcript of the gene named cyclin-dependent kinase 10, with no coding region annotated. The transcript has 7 exons. Lineage: Eukaryota; Metazoa; Arthropoda; Insecta; Hymenoptera; Apidae. The record is from RefSeq and is a predicted model, not a curated record.
CGUCGAAUCUGUAGUUUAUAUUUCUAAUGGUGUAAACGAAUUACAUAAAAAUUACCCGGUCAAGCAAUUGUUGGGGAUUGAUAGUUUUUGUAAAACACGAAUGCUAAAAAGAAAAACAGAUAUAGUUACAAAAAUAUUCUUUUAAGAAAAUUCCAUAAUGACAAAAGACGAAACAUUGGAGAAAAAAUCAGUAGAAAAUAAUGAUACUGAUAAAAAGACUGCAUCUGACUCUGGUCCUGAUCCAUCAGCACCAAUAACUAGAAGAGGAGUGUUAACGUCAUUCUUGACUGGCAAGCCGAUGGAAAUACCAGAACAAGAUAUUUUGGGUAAAUGCAGAUUUGUGUCAGAAUUUGAAAAAUUAAAUCGUAUAGGAGAAGGUACCUAUGGUAUUGUUUAUAGAGCAAGAGAUACUAAAAAUGAUAAAGUUGUAGCUUUGAAAAAGGUCCGAAUGGAACAUGAGAAGGAUGGCCUCCCGGUCAGUGGUUUAAGAGAAAUAUCUGUUCUUUUGUCUUGUCGUCAUGAAAAUAUUGUACAUUUGAGGGAAGUGGUAGUAGGAAGAAGUUUAGAAAGCAUAUUUCUUGCCAUGGAAUAUUGCGAACAAGAUUUAGCAAGUUUAUUAGAUAAUAUGCAAGCACCAUUUUCAGAAAGUCAAGUCAAAUGUAUUGUAUUACAAGUAUUAAAGGGUUUACGUUAUUUGCAUCAUAAUUUUAUUGUACAUAGAGAUUUGAAAGUUUCAAAUCUUCUUAUGACGGAUAAAGGAUGCGUAAAAAUUGCUGAUUUUGGAUUGGCAAGAUGGUUUGGUUUGCCUUUAAAACCAAUGACACCAAGAGUAGUAACAUUAUGGUAUAGAGCACCAGAGUUGUUAUUACAGGCAAAAACUCAAACAACUUCUGUUGAUAUGUGGGCUGCAGGUUGCAUUUUAGGGGAACUUCUUGGACAUCGGCCUUUAUUGCCUGGACGAUCAGAAAUUGCGCAGUUAGAAUUAAUUGUUGACUUAUUAGGCACACCAAGUGAAGCAAUUUGGCCAGAGUUUAAUACACUUCCGGCAUUGCAAAAUUUUACAUUAAAACAGCAACCAUAUAAUAAUUUAAAACAAAGAUUUCCAUGGUUGAGUGCUGCUGGUUUGAGAUUAUUAAAUUUUUUAUUCAUGUAUGAUCCAAAAAAAAGAGCCACUGCAGAAGAAUGUUUACAAAGUAGCUAUUUUAAAGAAGCUCCUUUACCAUGCGAUCCCAAACUUAUGCCUACUUUUCCACAACAUAGAAAUAUGAAAAAAACUGCACCUCCAAAGGAGACUAGAGAACCAGAGACAAAUGUUACAGACCAAACUAAUAAUUUGCCUGCAAUUUCAGAUCUUCUUGGUUCACUUGUUAAGAAAAGGCGAGUAGAAUAAGCAAGAUUUUACUUAUUCUCAGAAUUUUUAUAUCUUUCAUUCUCAAUGUAUGAAUUCAUUCAUAAACUUUCAAAUAAAACAACUUUAUUAAUAAAUACGAGAAAAAUAGUUCAAAGAACAUGUUUUUGUUAAUGAAAAAAUUCGAUGUAAUCCAAACGAGAAAGUUCAAAGCAACUUACGUAAUAAAGAGAGGGAGAGCGAAAAUUGAAUUCUGUCGUAAUCGUUUCAGAUAUACGUAGAAACUUCGAAAAGAAAUCGGUGUAACUUUUGGUCAUAUUGAAUAAAAAAAUAAAAUUGCUUCCUCAGUUAUAAAAAUAAA